This 586-nucleotide ribosomal RNA is filed under the name uncultured bacterium. Its description in RNAcentral is "partial 16S ribosomal RNA". It matches the Rfam family "Bacterial small subunit ribosomal RNA", at positions 355 to 1375 of the family's 1533-position model. The record is from RNAcentral.
UGGGGAAUUUUGGACAAUGGGCGAAAGCCUGAUCCAGCAAUGCCGCGUGUGUGAAGAAGGCCUUCGGGUUGUAAAGCACUUUUGUCCGGAAAGAAAUCCUUGGCUCUAAUACAGUCGGGGGAUGACGGUACCGGAAGAAUAAGCACCGGCUAACUACGUGCCAGCAGCCGCGGUAAUACGUAGGGUGCAAGCGUUAGUCGGAAUUACUGGGCGUAAAGCGUGCGCAGGCGGUUUGCUAAGACCGAUGUGAAAUCCCCGGGCUCAACCUGGGAACUGCAUUGGUGACUGGCAGGCUAGAGUAUGGCAGAGGGGGGUAGAAUUCCACGUGUAGCAGUGAAAUGCGUAGAGAUGUGGAGGAAUACCGAUGGCGAAGGCAGCCCCCUGGGCCAAUACUGACGCUCAUGCACGAAAGCGUGGGGAGCAAAACAGGAUUAGAUACCCUGGUAGUCCACGCCCUAAACGAUGUCAACUAGUUGUUGGGGAUUCAUUUCCUUAGUAACGUAGCUAACGCGUGAAGUUGACCGCCUGGGGAGUACGGUCGCAAGAUUAAAACUCAAAUGAAUUGACGGGGUCAUAGCUGUUUCCU